ACGAACGCUGGCGGCGUGCUUAACACAUGCAAGUCGAACGGUGAAGCGCCUUCCUUUUUGGUGGGUGUGGAUGAGUGGCGAACGGGUGAGUAACACGUGAGUAACCUGCCCCCUUCUUCUGGAUAACCGCAUGAAAGUGUGGCUAAUACGGGAUAUUCUGGGUCUGUCGCAUGAUGGGUCUGGGAAAGAUAUUGUUUCGGUGGGGGAUGGGCUCGCGGCCUAUCAGCUUGUUGGUGGGGUGAUGGCCUACCAAGGCGGUGACGGGUAGCCGGCCUGAGAGGGUGGACGGUCACACUGGGACGGAGACACGGCCCAGACUCCUACGGGAGGCAGCAGUGGGGAAUAUGGCACAAUGGGCGCAAGCCUGAUGCAGCGACGCCGCGUGAGGGAUGGAGGCCUUCGGGUUGUGAACCUCUUUCGCCAGUGAAGCAGGCCUGCCUCGUUUGUGGGUGGGUUGACGGUAGCUGGAUAAGAAGCGCCGGCUAACUACGUG
This 493-nucleotide ribosomal RNA is filed under the name uncultured bacterium. RNAcentral's name for it is "partial 16S ribosomal RNA". It matches the Rfam family "Bacterial small subunit ribosomal RNA", at positions 29 to 507 of the family's 1533-position model. The record is from RNAcentral.